CCUACGGGGGGCAGCAGUGAGGAAUAUUGGUCAAUGGACGAGAGUCUGAACCAGCCAAGUAGCGUGAAGGAUGACUGCCCUAUGGGUUGUAAACUUCUUUUAUAAAGGAAUAAAACGAGGCACGUGUGCCUUUUUGCAUGUACUUUAUGAAUAAGGAUCGGCUAACUCCGUGCCAGCAGCCGCGGUAAUACGGGGGAUCCGAGCGUUAUCCGGAUUUAUUGGGUUUAAAGGGAGCGUAGAUGGGUUGUUAAGUCAGUUGGGAAAGUUUGCGGCUUAACCGUAAAAUUGCAAUUGAUACUGGCAGUCUUGAGUAGAGUUGAGGUAGGCGGAAUUCGUGGUGUAGCGGUGAAAUGCGUAGAUAUCACGAAGAACCCCGAGUGCGAAGGCAGCUUACUAAGCUGUGACUGACAUUGAUGCUCGAAAGUGUGGGUAUCAAACAGGAUUAGAUACCCGGGUAGUC
RNAcentral lists this ribosomal RNA (460 nucleotides) under uncultured bacterium. RNAcentral's name for it is "partial 16S ribosomal RNA". It matches the Rfam family "Bacterial small subunit ribosomal RNA", at positions 338 to 795 of the family's 1533-position model. The record is from RNAcentral.